Molecule: ribosomal RNA, 323 nt
Filed under: uncultured Chloroflexota bacterium
Lineage: Bacteria; Bacillati; Chloroflexota
Description: bacterial SSU rRNA
Rfam family: Bacterial small subunit ribosomal RNA
Source: RNAcentral
GAUGAACGCUGGCGGCGUGCUUAAUACAUGCAAGUCGAACGGAGGUAUGUAGCAAUACGUGCCUUAGUGGCGAACGGGUGAGUAACACGUUGGUGACCUACCCCAGAGAGGGGGAUAACAGCUCGAAAGGGCUGCUAAUACCCCAUGCCGUCAUGGCGCUUAGAAAGCCAUGUCGAAAGGUGCAAACCGCUCUGGGAGGGGCCUGCGUCCCAUCAGCUAGUUGGUAGGGUAAUGGCCUACCAAGGCGACGAUGGUUAGCUGGUCUGAGAGGAUGAUCAGCCACACUGGAACUGAAACACGGUCCAGACUCCUACGGGAGGCUG